Molecule: ribosomal RNA, 484 nt
Filed under: uncultured bacterium
Lineage: Bacteria
Description: partial 16S ribosomal RNA
Rfam family: Bacterial small subunit ribosomal RNA
Source: RNAcentral
AUUGAACGCUGGCGGCAGGCCUAACACAUGCAAGUCGAGCGGAUGAAGGGAGCUUGCUCCUGGAUUCAGCGGCGGACGCGUGAGUAAUGCCUAGGAAUCUGCCUGGUAGUGGGGAAUAACGUCCGGAAACGGGCGCUAAUACCGCAUACGUCCUGAGGGAGAAAGUGGGGGAUCUUCGGACCUCACGCUAUCAGAUGAGCCUAGGUCGGAUUAGCUAGUUGGUGGGGUAAAGGCCUACCAAGGCGACGAUCCGUAACUGGUCUGAGAGGAUGAUCAGUCACACUGGAACUGAGACACGGUCCAGACUCCUACGGGAGGCAGCAGUGGGGAAUAUUGGACAAUGGGCGAAAGCCUGAUCCAGCCAUGCCGCGUGUGUGAAGAAGGUCUUCGGAUUGUAAAGCACUUUAAGUUGGGAGGAAGGGCAGUAAGUUAAUACCUUGCUGUUUUGACGUUACCAACAGAAUAAGCACCGGCUAACUUCGUG